AACGAACGCUGGCGGCAUGCCUAACACAUGCAAGUCGAACGAGACCUUCGGGUCUUGUGGCGCACGGGUUCGUAACGCGUGGGAACCUUCCCUUAGGUUCGGAAUAACUCCCCGAAAGGGGUGCUAAUACCGGAUAAUGUCUUCGGACCAAAGAUUUAUCGCCUUUGGAUGGUCCCGCGUUGGAUUAGCUAGUUGGUAGGGUAAAAGCCUACCAAGGCGACGAUCCAUAGCUGGUCUGAGAGGAUGAUCAGCGACACUGGGACUGAGACACGGCCCAGACUCCUACGGGAGGCAGCAGUGGGGAAUAUUGGACAAUGGGCGGAAGCCUGAUCCAGCAAUGCCGCGUGAGUGAUGAAGGCCUUAGGGUUGUAAAGCUCUUUUACCCGGGAUGAUAAUGACAGUACCGGGAGAAUAAGCUCCGGCUAACUCCGUG
Molecule: ribosomal RNA, 433 nt
Filed under: uncultured bacterium
Lineage: Bacteria
Description: partial 16S ribosomal RNA
Rfam family: Bacterial small subunit ribosomal RNA
Source: RNAcentral